AGCCUGAUGCAGCGACGCCGCGUGAGGGAUGACGGCCUUCGGGUUGUAAACCUCUUUCAGCAGGGAAGAAGCCACAAGUGACGGUACCUGCAGAAGAAGCGCCGGCUAACUACGUGCCAGCAGCCGCGGUAAUACGUAGGGCGCAAGCGUUGUCCGGAAUUAUUGGGCGUAAAGAGCUCGUAGGCGGUUUGUCGCGUCUGCUGUGAAAGCCCGGGGCUCAACCCCGGGUCUGCAGUGGGUACGGGCAGACUAGAGUGCAGUAGGGGAGACUGGAAUUCCUGGUGUAGCGGUGAAAUGCGCAGAUAUCAGGAGGAACACCGAUGGCGAAGGCAGGUCUCUGGGCUGUUACUGACGCUGAGGAGCGAAAGCAUGGGGAGCGAACAGGAUUAGAUACCCUGGUAGUCCAUGCCGUAAACGU
This 418-nucleotide ribosomal RNA is filed under the name Kocuria sp. Its description in RNAcentral is "bacterial SSU rRNA". It matches the Rfam family "Bacterial small subunit ribosomal RNA", at positions 380 to 809 of the family's 1533-position model. The record is from RNAcentral. Lineage: Bacteria; Bacillati; Actinomycetota; Actinomycetes; Micrococcales; Micrococcaceae.